RNAcentral lists this non-coding RNA (110 nucleotides) under Bacillus sp. (in: firmicutes). RNAcentral describes it as "Bacillus sp. TPP sequence". It matches the Rfam family "TPP riboswitch aptamer (THI element)". From Rfam's summary of the family: Vitamin B(1) in its active form thiamin pyrophosphate (TPP) is an essential coenzyme that is synthesised by coupling of pyrimidine and thiazole moieties in bacteria. The record is from RNAcentral. Lineage: Bacteria; Bacillati; Bacillota; Bacilli; Caryophanales; Bacillaceae. RNAcentral also lists the same sequence under 1 other name.
UGUGGAAGCUAGGGGUGCUUAUCUUGAAUAAGCUGAGAAAAAGGUGUGUUCCUUUUACCCUUGAACCUGAUCUGGUUGAUACCAGCGUAGGAAAGUGACUGCUACUUAAA